Molecule: ribosomal RNA, 254 nt
Filed under: uncultured bacterium
Lineage: Bacteria
Description: partial 16S ribosomal RNA
Rfam family: Bacterial small subunit ribosomal RNA
Source: RNAcentral
AGCGAGAUCGAGAGAUGGAGCAAAUCCCAAAAAUAAACGUCCCAGUUCGGACUGUAGUCUGCAACCCGACUACACGAAGCUGGAAUCGCUAGUAAUCGCGGAUCAGAAUGCCGCGGUGAAUACGUUCCCGGGUCUUGUACACACCGCCCGUCACACCAUGGGAGUCAGUAACGCCCGAAGUCAGUGACCUAACCGAAAGGGGGGAGCUGCCGAAGGCGGGACGGAUGACUGGGGUGAAGUCGUAACAAGGUACC